UGGACAUGAUGACAGCUGAGGUGUGGUGCUGGUGUGAGUGACUGCUGAAUACUGUUUAGAAUGUUUAAAGUGUAUUUUAGCUUUGUAUAGUGUGUGUGUGUGUGUGUGUGUGGGGCUGAUGGUGGGGGUGGCAGAGAUCAGUGCUGAUACAGGAGUGCAUCUGAGGCGGGCCGCUCACACAGAGGCUUCUCUGCGGUCUGGCUGAUGAUUAGAGCCUCAGUAUCAUCCUCACCCUCAGCCGCCAGCGCCACAGUCUCAGCAGGGCUUGUGAUUCAUCUCACACGUCCUGGGAUCUGAUCCGA
Carassius carassius (crucian carp) is the source of this 302-nucleotide non-coding RNA. RefSeq annotates it as small Cajal body-specific RNA 7. The record is from RefSeq and is a predicted model, not a curated record. The transcript has a single exon. Lineage: Eukaryota; Metazoa; Chordata; Actinopteri; Cypriniformes; Cyprinidae.